UAUCCAUCAGAGAUCACAGAGUAC
This 24-nucleotide non-coding RNA is filed under the name Arabidopsis thaliana (thale cress). Lineage: Eukaryota; Viridiplantae; Streptophyta; Magnoliopsida; Brassicales; Brassicaceae. The record is from RNAcentral.